Molecule: ribosomal RNA, 468 nt
Filed under: uncultured bacterium
Lineage: Bacteria
Description: partial 16S ribosomal RNA
Rfam family: Bacterial small subunit ribosomal RNA
Source: RNAcentral
GACGAACGCUGGCGGCGUGCUUAACACAUGCAAGUCGAACGGAAAGGCCCUGCUUUUGUGGGGUGCUCGAGUGGCGAACGGGUGAGUAACACGUGAGUAACCUGCCCUUGACUUUGUGAUAACUUCAGGAAACUGGGGCUAAUACCGGAUAGGAGCUCCUGCUGCAUGGUGGGGGUUGGAAAGGUUCGGCGGUUGGGGAUGGACUCGCGGCUUAUCAGCUUGUUGGUGGGGUAGUGGCUUACCAAGGCUUUGACGGGUAGCCGGCCUGAGAGGGUGACCGGCCACAUUGGGACUGAGAUACGGCCCAGAAUCCUACGGGACGCAGCAGUGGGGAAUAUUGCACAAUGGGCGGACGCCUGAUGCAGCAACGCCGCGUGCGGGAUGACGGCCUUCGGGUUGUAAACCGCUUUCGCCUGUGACGAAGAGUGAGUGACGGUAAUGGGUAAAGAAGCACCGGCUAACUACGUG